AUACGGAGGGUGCAAGCGUUACUCGGAAUCACUGGGCGUAAAGCGCGCGCAGGCGGCUUGAUAAGUUGGAUGUGAAAGCCUACGGCUCAACCGUAGAACUGCAUCCAAAACUGUCAGGCUAGAGUCUGGGAGGGGAAGAUGGAAUUAGUUGUGUAGGGGUAAAAUCCGUAGAGAUAACUAGGAAUACCAAAAGCGAAGGCGAUCUUCUGGAACAGUACUGACGCUGAGGCGCGAAAGCGUGGGGAGCAAACAGGAUUAGAAACCCCGGUAGUCC
Molecule: ribosomal RNA, 274 nt
Filed under: uncultured bacterium
Lineage: Bacteria
Description: partial 16S ribosomal RNA
Rfam family: Bacterial small subunit ribosomal RNA
Source: RNAcentral